GUGACAGCCCUGGGAGCUGGCAUCCUUCUUUUAGCCACAGAACAGGUUCAGCAAGGGGCCCAGCAAUGCAAUCUUCACAAUCCUUCCCUUCCUCUUUGCCUUAACCUGAGGUGUACAGACCAGCUCUUGGAGAGGAGAAAAGCAGUUCAUGUUCAAAAGUCAUUCUUUCUCUGCCCUCU
Molecule: unclassified non-coding RNA, 179 nt
Organism: Chelonoidis abingdonii (Abingdon island giant tortoise)
Lineage: Eukaryota; Metazoa; Chordata; Testudines; Testudinidae
Source: Ensembl